GAUGAACGCUGGCGGCGUGCCUAAUACAUGCAAGUCGAGCGAACGGACGAGAAGCUUGCUUCUCUGAUGUUAGCGGCGGACGGGUGAGUAACACGUGGAUAACCUACCUAUAAGACUGGGAUAACUUCGGGAAACCGGAGCUAAUACCGGAUAAUAUUUUGAACCGCAUGGUUCAAAAGUGAAAGACGGUCUUGCUGUCACUUAUAGAUGGAUCCGCGCUGCAUUAGCUAGUUGGUAAGGUAACGGCUUACCAAGGCAACGAUGCAUAGCCGACCUGAGAGGGUGAUCGGCCACACUGGAACUGAGACACGGUCCAGACUCCUACGGGAGGCAGCAGUAGGGAAUCUUCCGCAGUGGGCGAAAGCCUGACGGAGCAACGCCGCGUGAGUGAUGAAGGUCUUCGGAUCGUAAAACUCUGUUAUUAGGGAGGAACAUAUGUGUAAGUAACUGUGCACAUCUUGACGGUACCUAAUCAGAAAGCCACGGCUAACUACGUG
Molecule: ribosomal RNA, 497 nt
Filed under: uncultured bacterium
Lineage: Bacteria
Description: partial 16S ribosomal RNA
Rfam family: Bacterial small subunit ribosomal RNA
Source: RNAcentral